Molecule: ribosomal RNA, 253 nt
Filed under: uncultured bacterium
Lineage: Bacteria
Description: partial 16S ribosomal RNA
Rfam family: Bacterial small subunit ribosomal RNA
Source: RNAcentral
UACGUAGGGGGCAAGCGUUGUCCGGAUUUAUUGGGCGUAAAGAGCGUGUAGGCGGCCAGAUAGGUCAGCUGUGAAAACUCGAGGCUCAACCUCGAGAUGUCGGCUGAAACCAUCUGGCUAGAGUCCGGAAGAGGAGAAUGGAAUUCCCGGUGUAGCGGUGAAAUGCGCAGAUAUCGGGAGGAACACCAGUGGCGAAGGCGGCGACCUGGGCCAAUACUGACGCUGAGGUGCGAAAGCGUGGGGAGCAAACAGG